AUCCGCAUUCAGCAAUAUUCCAGCUAUAUGGCGGUGGUCUGUAAAUAAUCGAGUCUGGACCAGACAAUCCAGAGAUCAACAGCAUGAGCAUCGAUCUUGGCAACUGGGAAGCGAUGACAAGUGUCAAUCAAGUCAG
This is a long non-coding RNA of Haliotis rubra (blacklip abalone), 136 nucleotides long. RefSeq lists it as uncharacterized. The record is from RefSeq and is a predicted model, not a curated record. Lineage: Eukaryota; Metazoa; Mollusca; Gastropoda; Lepetellida; Haliotidae. The transcript is spliced from 3 exons.